This 447-nucleotide ribosomal RNA is filed under the name uncultured bacterium. RNAcentral's name for it is "SSU rRNA". It matches the Rfam family "Bacterial small subunit ribosomal RNA", at positions 26 to 518 of the family's 1533-position model. The record is from RNAcentral.
AGAACGAACGCUGGCGGCAGGCCUCAAACAUGCAAGUCUAGGGGGCGUAGCAAUACGUCACCGGCGGACGGGUGCGUAACACGUGGGAAUGUACUUAUUGGUUCGGAACAACUCAGGGAAACUUGAGCUAAUACCGAAUGUGCCCGUAAGGGGAAAGAUUUAUCGCCAAUAAAUCAGCCCGCGUCCGAUUAGCUAGUUGGUGGGGUAAAGGCCCACCAAGGCGACGAUCGGUAGCUGUUCUGAGAGGAAGAUCAGCCACACUGGGACUGAGACACGGCCCAGACUCCUACGGGAGGCAGCAGUUGGGAAUCUUGGACAAUGGGGAAACCCUGAUCCAGCCAUGCCGCGUGAGUGAUGAAGGCCUUAGGGUUGUAAAACUCUUUCGGCGGGGACGAUAAUGACGGUACCCGCAGAAGAAGCUCCGGCUAACUUCGCGCCAGCAGCCGC